GAGACCUCUUUAAACCCUCCCCUGUUAGCAGAAGAGGGGGAAUAGAGGAGGAGACAAGCUGCCACUAGAAUUCCCCAUCUCGGAAGACUUGAAGCAGCCAUUCUGACUCUUCAGUGAACAAGGCUGCUUUAAAUACAGAUUGAAAGUUGAAAAUCUGCCACAUGUGUGAAUAUGUAGGAAUGCAUCUUAAAAAGUCUCCUCAGUGGAAAUAUUUGCAGUGAUGAUUAUUAAACCAGAGACUUGGAUCCCUGUAACUGUACCCCCAACUGAGAGCCGCAUACUCACUGUAAAGCACUCCAGUGGCACAAAGCACAGUAAUUCAAACGUUGUUUUUCAUCCCAUGUCAGGUAACUGUUCUCAAACCUGAUUUGUUGACUGAAGCAUUGUGAAUGGGCAGGAGGGGGAUUCAAAUCUUUCUCAUAUUGACCUGUGGUGCUGUAAAUCAAACUCAGUUUUUCAAGUUUUCUCUUUUCUUUCUGUAUUUUUUUUUCUGAACACACUGCUUUGUUCAAGUCAUUUGACUGUUCUAUAAACAAUAUAAAUGAAUGUCAAUCCCUGAAAAUUUUUAGCCUAUUAAUUUUGUAUCCAAAAUACAAUUUUAAUGAUUUGCAAAAAAGUAGGUGCUAAUAUCCAAUUCGCAUUAAAACUCUUGUACGAUGCUGUCGUCUUUAAAUCAGAUUUUCAAAGCUUUCUUUUCUGACUGACUGCAGAACACUAGAUACAAUACAUUAAAGCAUGAUGAAAAUUCCUGUAGCAGACUGAAGUUGUGAUAGCUGUUCCAAGAGCUUACGGUGCUUGUCCAAUUAUUUAAAGCACAUACACGAUAGGUCAAGCUGUAUAUGGUGUUCAUAUCUAUGCAUUUUCUAACUUAGGCCAGUUGUCACAAAUGUAAUUGUCCUCUUCUCAUUGGGGGGGGAAAACACAAAGAAAAAGAGUGUUGAUGUAAGUUUAUAAAAUGCCCAAUAUUUGUUCAACAGAUUUGCAAUGUUUUUGGAUUAUGUUUAGGUUCAUGCAAUUAAGGAUUUAGGUAUGGUUGUAUUGCACUGAAAACUAAUCAAAAUAUUUAUUUUAAAAAAUACUGUAUCUUCCUUUUAAUUAAAUACAAUGCUUGAAGGACUA
Long non-coding RNA from Chelonia mydas (Green sea turtle), 1119 nucleotides. RefSeq lists it as uncharacterized. The transcript is spliced from 3 exons. NCBI's taxonomy places the organism in Eukaryota, Metazoa, Chordata, Testudines, Cheloniidae. The record is from RefSeq and is a predicted model, not a curated record.